UGAAUACGAGACGCUAAGGCGUCGAAGUAGUGUAUGUCAUACUUCCAAGAAAAGCUUGCACUGUCAUAGAUAAAAAACGCCUGUACCAUAACCGACACAGGUGGGUAGGUAGAGUAUACUAAGGGGCGCGAGAUAACUCUCUCUAAGGAACUCGGCAAAAUAACUCCGUAGCUUCGGGAGAAGGAGUGCCUUAUUCGUAAGGUUGCAAUAACAAGAUCCAAGCAACUGUUUAUCAAAAACACAGGUCUCCGCUAAGUCGUAAGACGAUGUAUGGGGGCUGACGCCUGCCCAGUGCCAGAAGGUUAAAGAAGUUGGUUAGCAAUUGCGAAGCUGAUAACUGAAGCCCUGGUGAACGGCGGCCGUAACUAUAACGGUCCUAAGGUAGCGAAAUUCCUUGUCGGGUAAGUUCCGACCCGCACGAAAGGCGUAAUGAUUUGGAUACUGUCUCGGAGAGGGGCUCGGUGAAAUAGACUUGUCUGUGAAGAUGCGGACUACCUGCACCAGGACAGAAAGACCCUAUGAAGCUUUACUGUAACUUGAAAUUGAAAUUGGACUUUAUUCGCGCAGUAUAGGUGGGAGGCGUUGAUUAUAAUCUUGUGGGAUUAUUGGAGCCAUCAGUGAGAUACCACUCUUGUAAUGUUAGAUUUCUAACUUUGAAUCAUUAUCUGGUCAAAGAACAGUUUCAGGCGGGCAGUUUGACUGGGGCGGUCGCCUCCUAAACGGUAACGGAGGCGUACAAAGGUUUCCUCUGAACGGUUAGAAAUCGUAUCUAGAGUGUAAAGGCAUAAGGAAGCUUGACUGUGAGACCUACAAGUCGAGCAGGGACGAAAGUCGGUCUUAGUGAUCUGACGGUACUGAGUGGAAAGGCCGUCACUCAACGGAUAAAAGUUACUCUAAGGAUAACAGGCUGAUCUCCCCCAAGAGUUCACAUCGACGGGGGGGUUUGGCACCUCGAUGUCGGCUCAUCGCAUCCUGGGGCGGUAGUACGUCCCAAGGGUUGGGCUGUUCGCCCAUGAAAGCGGUACGCGAGCUGGGUUCAGAACGUCGUGAGACAGUUCGGUCCAUAUCCGGUGUAGGCGUUAGAAUAUUGAGAGGAGCCUUCUUUAGUACGAGAGGACCGAGAAGGACAUACCUCUGGUGUACCAGUUAUCGUGCCAACGGUAAACGCUGGGUAGCUAUGUAUGGAGUGGAUAACCGCUGAAAGCAUCUAAGUGGGAAGCCCACCUCAAGAUAAGUAUUCUC
RNAcentral lists this ribosomal RNA (1242 nucleotides) under metagenome. RNAcentral describes it as "bacterial LSU rRNA". It matches the Rfam family "Bacterial large subunit ribosomal RNA", at positions 1564 to 2815 of the family's 2925-position model. The record is from RNAcentral.